RNAcentral lists this ribosomal RNA (390 nucleotides) under uncultured Glomeromycotina. RNAcentral describes it as "SSU rRNA". It matches the Rfam family "Eukaryotic small subunit ribosomal RNA", at positions 704 to 1092 of the family's 1831-position model. The record is from RNAcentral. Lineage: Eukaryota; Fungi; Glomeromycota.
UGAAGAACUGUAAUGUCAUUAAUUUGGUGUUGCAGGGAAACAGGACUGUUACUUUGAAAAAAUUAGAGUGUUUAAAGCAGGCUAACGCUUGAAUACAUUAGCAUGGAAUAAUGAAAUAGGACGUUCAAACCUAUUUUGUUGGUUUCUAGGAUUGACGUAAUGAUUAAUAGGGAUAGUUGGGGGCAUUAGUAUUCAAUUGUCAGAGGUGAAAUUCUUGGAUUUAUUGAAGACUAACUACUGCGAAAGCAUUUGCCAAGGAUGUUUUCAUUAAUCUUGAACGAAAGUUAGGGGAUCGAAGACGAUCAGAUACCAUCGUAGUCUUAACCAUAAACUAUGCCGACUAGGGAUCGGAUGAUGUUAAUUUUUUAAUGACUCAUUCGGCGCCUUACG